Molecule: ribosomal RNA, 521 nt
Filed under: uncultured bacterium
Lineage: Bacteria
Description: bacterial SSU rRNA
Rfam family: Bacterial small subunit ribosomal RNA
Source: RNAcentral
UACGGAGGAUCCGAGCGUUAUCCGGAUUUAUUGGGUUUAAAGGGUGCGCAGGCUGAUCGAUAAGUCAGGGGUGAAAAAUUUCAGCUUAACUGGAAUCGUGCCUUUGAUACUGUCGGACUAGAGUGUAACUGACGUGACUGGAAUGUGCCGUGUAGCGGUGAAAUGCUUAGAUAUGUCACAGAACGCCAAUCGUGAAGACAGGUCACGAAGUUACUACUGACGCUCAUGCACGAAAGCGUGGGGAUCAAACAGGAUUAGAUACCCUGGUAGUCCACGCUGUAAACGAUGAUUACUCGUUGUUGGGCAUUUAUGCUCAGUGGCCAAGCGAAAGUGAUAAGUAAUCCACCUGGGGAGUACGAUCGCAAGGUUGAAACUCAAAGGAAUUGACGGGGGCCCGCACAAGCGGAGGAGCAUGUGGUUUAAUUCGAUGAUACGCGAGGAACCUUACCCGGGCUUGAACGUGAGACGAAUAUAUAAGAGAUUAUAUAGCCUUCGGGCGUCUUGCGAGGUGCUGCAUGGUU